UGUAUGACAAUUUAAUGAAUAAAGAUUCAUUAAAGCCCAAAAGCCCAAAAAUCCCUAAAUGGCCAGCCAUAUGGAAUGAAUUAGGGUUUUGGUUAUUUAGGUCACUUAAAGAAGUGACUAUAUAAAUGACUUUAUAGCCAAAUAUUCAUAAAGGAUUAAAAAGGGUUUAUUUUGGGGGAAAAAUGGGUGAGAAUUGUCUCUCCAUUUCUCUCUAAAGAGGCCAACACCUUGGAGGGUACAUCUAGCAAUCCUACUACUCCAAGGUCACUCAUUUCUUCUACAAUCUAACCUUGGUGAAGAGACUUAGAGGUUCUCAAUUUUGGGAACUUAGAGAACCUAUUCUUCCAUCCAAAUCCAUGGAUCUAAGAAGCAAGGAAUGAAGGCCCUAUCUCUUUGGGUGAUUAGCCUUUGCUUAUGCAAAGAGGAAUCUACAAAGGUAUUAAUUUCAACUCACUUUGUUUUGAGUUGAUUAUUGGUUCACCAAUCUCUACUAGGCUUUGAAUUUCAUGGUAAUGUUUUGUUUUUGAGUGCAUACAAGCAUGAUUCCGCCUUUAAUUGUUAAUUGCAUGCUAUAUGAUGUUGCUCAAAUGAACAUGUUUUCCCAAAAGAUUUCCUUCAAGUGGUAUCAGAGCCUAGGUCUAGUAGUUGGUGAAUCCUUUUGGGUUUUGUAGUUCAUAAGUUUGUGAUUUAAAAGUUGUAAUUGUUACAAGCUUUAUUCUUGCUUCUUUGAAAGUAAAUUUUGUUGGAAAAUUUGCCAUCUCAAAUGUUGUAGAUGUUGUUCAUAUGAGCAUGAAUAUUGGAGCUAAAAUUUGGUGCCAUGCUUUUGGGAAAAUUCGGCCAAAACCAAAGGGUGGAUUUUUGGGUUCUUGUUUGACUUGUUAAAAGUGUUUUAAUGUGUUUUGGAACCCCUAAGUACCCUAGUUUGGUUAGAUGUUAUUUCCCUUAAGUAAGAAUGGUUUUGGAAUGUUUUUGGGUGAAAAAGGUUCAUGGAAAAAUUUGGGUUUUUCAUGGAUGUUCUUCAUUGUUCUUGAUGUUCUUGCCAAGAACAAAAAGGUUUGGUGUUUUGAUUCAAAGUUUUGAAUUUAUUUCAUAAAGUUUAUGUGAUAUGUUUUUCAAAUGAUUUAUCAUGUAUUUAAAGUGUUAAAUAUUUGAUUAAAUGGCAAUAGAAAAAUCUAUCAUCAAAACUUAUAUUAUUUUUAUGAAAGGUGAUAGAAAUAAUGGUGAUAAGAAGUUCUUAUCUUACACCACUUGAUUGUUUUUGACAAAACUCACAAAUCAACACACACACCAAUCUUAUCCCUCCCCAAAACCAGCCACUCCCUCAAAGGGAGUACUUUUGGGGCUUUUAUGCAAUUACAUAAAGUUUUGAUACUUUUGUGUAUUUGCACUUUGGCCCAAAAGUUUACGUUUUUACGUUUAGGUCCAAAAACGCUAAAGGACAAAUUGUUUUGUUCCUUUAAUGAAGUUUUUGCAUUAUUAAAAGUUUGGGUUCUAGUUGUAUUUACAUGAAGUAGUGACUUUUGUGUAUUGUACAAAGUGACCCCAAAAGUUUUUGUUUUUGCAAUAUGGCCCAAAAGUUGAGGUUAAUUGCAUGAUGGCCCAAAUUAGGAUGAGAACAAAAUUGUUUUGUCUCUUUAAAUGAGAAUUGGAUUUUCAUUUUGUUUCAUUUUGUUUAGCUCCAUUUAAAUCAAUUUUAUGGAUACAAAAACCAAAUGAAAAUGUUGCAUUCAAUUUAAUUAGUUAAAGUGUUAAUUAAUUAAAGGGUGAUUAUGAACCUAAGCCUAAUAUAAUUGAGCUAUGUGAAAGGCCGUUUCAAAUUUGUUGAACCAUGGGAAUGUGUAGAUUAGAUUUUGGUUGUAAUUUGAUUUGAUCAAAUGUUGUAAAAGGGCUUAAGCUCUUCUUUACUUUAAAGUAAUUUGUUUAUGCAAAUGUUGUAAUGAGCAUAAGCUCACCUUUACUUUGAAGUACUUCUUUCUUGCUUUAUAUUGAUAUGCAUGAAAAUGAAGUAGUUGGGUCCAACGCCCCUAAGACAACACGCCUUAAUGUGAUUAAACGCGUAACUAAAAUCAAUCACCAUCCCUAGACCGAGAUUCAACACAAGGCUCGUGUUGAAUCUAAACAAAGGUUCAUAGUCAUCCUAAGGCCCUAAGGCAACUAUAUAGUCCAUCAAAUGAAUGCAAAGUUUAUGUUAGUAGUAUCAUAUACUCUUGCUUUAAAAAAAUCGUUUUAUAAGCAUAGUGGGAGUAUUAUAUACAACUAAAACAAUCAAAUGGACCAAUAGUUGUAAUAGGACCAAAAUUGUUUUAAUAGAGAUUAAAAUGAAUAUUUAUAUGUGAUGAGACCUAAAAACCCUCAACCAAACCAUUAUUAAGUUGAUAAGCGUGAGAGUGCUUUGAACACUCUUUCGUGGCCUUCCACCGUGGUGGGCUUCAAUCGUUUGUGACUCGUACACCGUAUUCGUCCAGUUCAUGGGGUUGCAAAGUAUGUGCUUACAUUCAGGAGAAGCCUAUAAACAUAUGAUGAAGUGAAAGGUAGGCAACAAGUGUGGCCAAUAUGGAGUUUUCUUCUGAGGCCAUUCUUGAACCCCUACUUGAACUAGCAUGGUGGGAAUGACUUAACUAAGUGCAAUGGUGCCAAUAUGGAGUUCUUCUGAGGCAUCAUUCUCUAGAGGCCAAACGAGAUGGGUACUUGCAUUAGUUGCAAAUGAGUAAGCGUACUCUCUCAUUAUUAUUGUUGCUAGCCAAUAUGGAGUUCUUCUGAGGUGGGCUUGGUAAUAGUGAGCCUCCCAUAACCUACUAAGAGUUUCAUCCAAAACUCUCGAAUUCCAAUGAGGGAUAUGGAAUUUGCCAAAAAUAGUGGGUGGUGCUAUUUUGAUUUAAAGACCCGAAUCAAAUGGCUUAAAAUCAAUCAAUUUAUAUUCGUUAUGUAUUUGAUACCAAUAUAUUUGCAAACGCUAUCCAACACUUGACAAAUAAAAGCCGAACGUUUAGUUUACGGACUUGGUACUACAAAACCAUAGAUUGUCUUUAAUGGCUUGUAAAAGUACCAAAGUAGUCUCAUCCUCACAAUCUUCCUAUUGAUAAUGUAUCAUUAGAAGAAUAUGUUAGAAAAGGUCUAUCAUAAAGAGGACAACACUUUUAAUGUCAUAAUUCUUCAAUUACAAAUUGUUGUAUGAAGAAAUAGGAGUUGCUUUGAACAACCCUUAGUCAAUGCAAACACUUAGUGCUUGUUUCUUUGUUACAUGAACAAGGAACUUGAGAAGAAAGCACAAAGGCAUGGACACUUUAUGUGCCAUGAUUCUUCACUUACAAUUUGUUGUAUGAAGAAAUAAGAGUUGCCUUGUACAACUCUUUAAAGUUUGUAAUUAUGUUUAGAACAUAAUGGUUGGUUGACAAAAAUAGUCCAUUAACAUGGAUUUAUGAUGAUUUUGAAUCAUUAAGUGUUGAAGUGAUAAAACCACUUAAUGAGACGGAAACUAGGCAAGGACUUCACCUUUGUUUCCCUAUCCUAAUCGUUCACUAAGUUUAUUGUAAACUAUGUAGUGAAAAAUAACCACAUGCUCUCCAAAAUGUUUGAUGUGUAUAACACAAUUGAAAAAAGGUUUCAAGAGAGAUAGUGGGAGUUUAGGGACCAUGACUAUUGUAGUCAAAAGGAGAAGUCAAAUAAAGAAGAUAAAAUAACUCCAAGGGAACAAACUUUCUUUAUGAAAGGAUGGACAUUGGAAGGGGUAUUUGCAAGAAAUGUCUUGCAAGUGUCAAGGACACACCUUUCGAAGGUGUUGUAAAUUGUUCUUGAAUAGUUCAAAACAGUUGGUUCUUCUACUUGAAUGCAUUGAUUCCGUAUUAGUGACUAUGUUUUACAAAUCGUUGUAAAAGUGUGACUAAUAAGAAGUAGAAGAUAUAUGAGUGAAGAAAAGGUGCUUCACAUUCGGAAACGUGAAUCAAAUAUAGAUCUCUGCGAAAGCAGAUGGUACUUACUUCCUCAUAUGAACUACCAAAGAAAUUGGAAAAACAUAGAUUGUCUUUAUAUUCCAAUUUUAAGGAACUAAAUUCCGUCACUAUGUGAAAUGGAUAAAUGUUUUGUUUGACAAAACAUUGUUCUUUAUUAAUCAAUGAUUGGAUUAUGGUAAUCUAAUUGAUUGUCUCUAUAGUAGAGAUAAUAUGGUGGUGUUAACUGUUUAGAAAAUAAUGAUGCUUGAAACCCAAAAGGUUGCAAGGUAGUGACUAAUCUCAACUAAAGUUGUGAUACCUCUAAAACAUAAAUUACGAGUUGGUAAUAAAUGGAUGCUUUGGAUCGUUAGAUCCGGAUCCAAUACCUUCUUGUUAAAAUUGUAUGGAGGCGAAAUGUUCGAAUCUUUAUUCUUUUGGAAAGAAGAAAGAAUCACAAAGUUGUUGAGGUUAAUUCACUUAGAUGUUAGUGGCACUUGUCCACAAACAUAAUAUUACUCAUGUUGAAUAACAUUCACCGAAGAUCACUCUCGGUUGGACUAUAGUUUAUUUUGAAUAAACACAAGUCCGAAUACUUUGCAGAAUGUUUCAAAGAAUUCAAGAAAUGUAAGUUGAUGAGUAAGACAUCUAAAGUAUUAUCUCCUUAGAUUUGAUCCAAGGAAAGGUAACACUUUAGAUGAGUUUCCUUGAAAGAUAUCAAGGAAAAUAGCAUCAUAAGAUAAUGUAUUUCUCCAUUAGGAGAAGAACGAACUCGAAUAAGAUUUAGUUCGUUAGAUGUUAUCUAUUACCCAUAUAUAGGAUAUAUACUUCUAAAAACAAUAUGAUUGUCAAUGAGAAGAUCUUCCAAUAUUUUCAUGACUCCAUAAGAUGUAGUUGGAAAGAAAGACAAAUCUUAAGCAUGUUAAAGAUUUGGGGUUGUGUGCUAAUAAGCAAUAUUUGUUAGAUAACAAUCUUGUAGGAUAUCCUUAAAAUAACUUUUGGAUAUCGCUUCUAUAAACCAACUAACAAAUGUUGUUUUGUUGGGUAGUUCAUUGUAAUUCUACAAUGUGAUUUGCCUAAAAGCAAAUGAACGAGAGAUAGAACUCAAAGAAUGGGUUCUUUGAGAGACAAGAAAGUAAUCAACAAAUAUAACAACCGAGUUCCUGUACCACAAGCUCCAAAGUAGUCGAUAAGAAUGAAAAUCCUUAUGACUACAUUGAGUGCAUAUACGAUAUAUACUCAAGGAAAUGGUAAAGUACCAUUUGACUCGAAAUAAUGAAACCUUCAUUAGCUAAUUGGUAGCUUAAGGUGACUACAAUCAAAGAGAAUGGUUGACUUUAAAGGAACCAUUUUUGACGUAGUCUUAGUUUCAAUUAAUUCGAAGAUUGCUAGCUACAACUAAAUGGUGAUUCAAUGUUUGGACAUAAUAUGGGUUUCCGAAACCAUUAUUAAGAUAGUCUUGAUAAUAUAUGUCUAAAACUAUAAAUCACAAGACAUGUAAGUUGUAGAGAUCCAUCCAUCAUGGAUCUUAGCAAGUUAGUGGGAGCUAUUUGCAUUUUAUGAGAAAAAGGAUCAAAUCGUUUGAUUUCUCAUAAAGAUGUAAAUGAAUCUUUUGUUUACUAGUUUUACAAAAGAUGAGUGGGAGUUAAUCAUGUUCCUAAAAAUUUAAAUAUAUAUGAUAUAUUAAUUUUGGAAAUGAAAAGAAUACUUCUUCGUUAAAGUUAUGACUUUAAUACAUUAUAUAUGAAGAUAGAAUGUAUAUGGGAGAUAUAGUCUAUAUACAUGGGAUGGAAAUCUAUAAUGAUAUAUUUCAUGAUAUAAUUGGAUUAUAUCAAUCCCUAAUAAUAGACAAUGGAUGCUAGGAAGUUUCUCAUAUGAUGAUAAACUUCAAUAAGAAGGACGAUUCUCUAGUGAGACUAGCAAGUUGCCCUUCUCAAAGGGAAUGUACCCUUUGACUCCCAAAGAAAUAAUGCGUAAAUUGAAUCCUUUAUGCAUACGCAGAAAGGUUAUUUAUGUAUUUCAUAUUGUAUGAAAAACAUUGAUAUGAGUUGUACCUAGAACGGUACAAGACGAUAUCAGUGCAAGCCCAGGAUCAGAACCAUGGCAACUGUCAAGUGAGUCCUUAAGUAUUUGAGAAAUACUAAAGGAUAGAUUCCUCAAAGAAUGAGGAAGAAUUAGAGUAACGUAAUGGAAGCGUAAAUGUAUUAGAUUAUGAAUCUAAUCCAUCAUUGGAUGUUUCUUCAUUAUGAAUGAAGAGAUAAACGAAUAUCUCUUUAUUAUGACUAAAGAGAUAUUUGGAUGGAAACAUUAAAGUAAUGACUUUAGUGUGUUCCAUUAUGAAUGCAAGAUAUAUUGCCAUAUAGAAGUUUUACAACAAUGUUGUUUGGAUGGGAAAGUUCAUUUAUGAACUCUCUAUUCGAUUCCAACCAGAAAGUGUAUGACACUAAUGGGGCGAUAGCUCAAGCCUGGGAAUCAAGGUCUCAUCAAGAUCCGAACUCAAAAUGAGAGACUGAACCACACAUGAUUGAGAAUCAUGUAUAAUGGUGACGUCGUUAUUCUCAAGGGUGCUUCUAUGGAUAACACAUAUAGAUAUCCACUGUCUAGGCCUACUAUUUAGCCAUUUAUGAAAUGACUACAGAAGAGGUAUCAUCAAGAUGACCAAGCUGAUUGGCUCUAGUGCAAGUGGGAGAUUGUUGGAAAUGUGCCCUAAAAGCCAAUCAUGUGAUGAUACUUUACGGACAUUUCACAUGUUAAACUAAUCUAGUUUUACAUAUAAAGGGCAAAGAUUAUUGUUUGAGCCGUCUCAUAUAAAUGUUAUAUGCUUAAACGAUAAAGUCCAAGGAAUAUGUGAUUGGGAGAAUGUAAUCUAAUGAAGUUAGAUUCAUGAGACCAUUCUUUCGUAGACACAUCCUAAAUGUUCCUGAUCAUAGGAUUGCCAAUUGGGCAUUGACAGUCCGUUAAGAUCAGUACGUACUAUGUCUUCUCUCAGGGAGAGUGAUCAGUCUCGAAUCAUUGGUGUGUGUGACAUCAAGACAAGUACGGUAGGUGCUCAAUAGAGAAUGAGUUCACUGAACGCGAUCAACGAAGAGUUCUCAUAUUCCAUGUCACAUGAGAACUCAUGGUUGGGAUAAUGCAAAGUAGUAGUCCUUUGACCUGAGGCAUCAUAGUUGUCUUGUGGUUAAGUCCUUGAUCUUUGAUUAUGUCAAAGUCACUCCAUCAGGAGGGUGUCCACGGCAUCGUUGGGGGGUCAAGCCACUUAGCUAUGGAGACAAGUGAAUGCGCAACAAGGGAUCUCUAACCUUCAAACCGUUUGAGGGAGAAUACUCUAUGAUAUGAUUUGAAUCUCUGGCCAGAGUAUGAAUGAGAUUGGGGAAUGCGUUCCAAAUCACAUUCAAGGUAAUCAUAUAAGCACAAGACACACAUUGGAUAGUAGACUUGAGAAAAUAAACUAUCAAACCAAACAAUGUGGUCAAGAGUAUUAGAUUAGAGAAAGACCGUAUUGCAUUUGUAAUCUCGAACUGAAUAGGUUCUCCACCUCUUCUGAUUAGCUUGGGUAACCAUGAUAUGCUGCUAGGUGUCACUCAUGGUUUGUGGAAGCCCUAAACGUGUGUGUAAUCACUAAAGGGAGAAUUGAAAAUAGUUUCAAUUCACAAUCGAUGUAAAAUGGUUUUAAUCGCCCACUACCUCGCUAAAAGGAACCUAAUGGAUCGCACACCAUAAAAGGUAGAGAUUGGAGAUUAAACGGAAAUGAGUAAGAAUGAUUAAAUGGUUUAAUCAUUUAUUUAUGGCAAGGAUUAAUUAAUAUGUUAAUUAAUCAAACGAAUAAGUUCGUUAAAUGACUUCGGGAUAGUUUUGGACCUUAAGGCCCAAUGGGCUUCGAACGUCAAGCCCAUUAACUUAAGUUGUAUGACAAUUUAAUGAAUAAAGAUUCAUUAAAGCCCAAAAGCCCAAAAAUCCCUAAAUGGCCAGCCAUAUGGAAUGAAUUAGGGUUUUGGUUAUUUUAGGUCACUUAAAGAAGUGACUAUAUAAAUGACUUUAUAGCCAAAUAUUCAUAAAGGAUUAAAAAGGGUUUAUUUUGGGGGAAAAAUGGGUGAGAAUUGUCUCUCCAUUUCUCUCUAAAGAGGCCAACACCUUGGAGGGUACAUCUAGCAAU
This 8079-nucleotide long non-coding RNA is filed under the name Malus domestica (apple). RNAcentral describes it as "long non-coding RNA (MDOM_LNC019597)". Lineage: Eukaryota; Viridiplantae; Streptophyta; Magnoliopsida; Rosales; Rosaceae. The record is from RNAcentral.